AGCCAGUUCGAAACGCGAAAAGUUCUCCUUUCNAGGGGCACAAGGUAGGAGUGGGCGCNCGNCCCCUUUUUAAAAACGAUAGGUAAUCGUACUCUUCNCGAUGGGAGAAUAACACCUNNGAAACGGUUGCAUAAUACCGCAUAAUGCAGNGGUNCCUAAUGGUGACAGUUGUUAAAGCGGGGGAUCGAAAGACCUCGCGUCUGAAGAGGAGCCUGCGGNGGAUUANCUAGUUGGUAAGGUAAUGGCUUACCAAGGCGACGAUCCGUAACCGGCCUGAGAGGGCGGUCGGUCACACUGACACUGACAUACGGGUCAGACUCCUACGGGAGGCAGCAGUCGGGAAUUUUGGGCAAUGGGCGAAAGCCUGACCCAGCAACGCCGCGUGAAGGAUGAAAUCCUUCGGGAUGUAAACUUCGCAAGAACGGGAAGAAUAAGUCUGUGUAAAUACCACAGAUGAUGACGGUACCGUUUGUAAGCUCCGGCUAACUCCGUGCCAGCAGCCGCGGUAAUACGGGGGGAGCAAGCGUUGUUCGGAUUUACUGGGCGUAAAGGGCGCGUAGGCGGUCAGCACAAGUNCAGUUGUGAAAUCUCCGAGCUUAACUCGGGAAAGGNCAACUGAUNCUGUUGCGACUUANAGUGCAGAAGGGGCAACUGNGAAUUCUUGGUGUAGNGGUGAAAUGCGUCGAUAUCAAGAGGAACACCUGCGGCGAAAGGCUGGNUUGCUGGGGCUGACACUGANCUCUGANGNGCGAAAGCUANGGGUAGCGAACGGGUAUUUAGAUU
RNAcentral lists this ribosomal RNA (783 nucleotides) under uncultured bacterium. RNAcentral describes it as "partial 16S ribosomal RNA". It matches the Rfam family "Bacterial small subunit ribosomal RNA", at positions 60 to 784 of the family's 1533-position model. The record is from RNAcentral.